This 641-nucleotide ribosomal RNA is filed under the name uncultured actinomycete. RNAcentral's name for it is "bacterial SSU rRNA". It matches the Rfam family "Bacterial small subunit ribosomal RNA", at positions 232 to 887 of the family's 1533-position model. Lineage: Bacteria; Bacillati; Actinomycetota; Actinomycetes; Actinomycetales. The record is from RNAcentral.
CGCGGCCUAUCAGCUUGUUGGUGAGGUAACGGCUCACCAAGGCAUCGACGGGUAGCUGGUCUGAGAGGACGAUCAGCCACACUGGAACUGAGACACGGUCCAGACUCCUACGGGAGGCAGCAGCAGGGAAUAUUGCACAAUGGGCGAAAGCCUGAUGCAGCAACGCCGCGUGAGGGAUGACGGCCUUCGGGUUGUAAACCUCUUUCAGGAGGGAAGAAAUUGACGGUACCUCCAGAAGAAGCCCCGGCUAACUACGUGCCAGCAGCCGCGGUAAUAUGUAGGGGGCGAGCGUUGUCCGGAUUUAUUGGGCGUAAAGAGCUCGUAGGCGGCUCAGUAAGUCGGCUGUGAAAGUCCGAGGCUCAACCUCGGAACUGCAGUCGAUACUGCUGUGGCUAGAGUCAGGUAGAGGGGAAUGGAAUUCCCGGUGUAGCGGUGGAAUGCGCAGAUCUCGGGAGGAACACCAGUAGCGAAGGCGGUUCUCUGGGCCUGUACUGACGCUGAGGAGCGAAGCGUGGGGAGCAAACAGGAUUAGAUACCCUGGUAGUCCACGCCGUAAACGUUGGGUACUAGGUGUGGCGAUCGGACUAACGAUUGCCGUGCCGAAGCUAACGCAUUAAGUACCCCGCCUGGGGAGUACGAAU